This 425-nucleotide ribosomal RNA is filed under the name uncultured bacterium. RNAcentral's name for it is "bacterial SSU rRNA". It matches the Rfam family "Bacterial small subunit ribosomal RNA", at positions 354 to 796 of the family's 1533-position model. The record is from RNAcentral.
GUGGGGAAUAUUGGACAAUGGGCGCAAGCCUGAUCCAGCCAUGCCGCGUGAGUGAUGAAGGCCUUAGGGUUGUAAAGCUCUUUCGUCAGGGAAGAUAAUGACGGUACCUGAAGAAGAAGCCCCGGCUAACUUCGUGCCAGCAGCCGCGGUAAUACGAAGGGGGCUAGCGUUGCUCGGAAUCACUGGGCGUAAAGCGCACGUAGGCGGCUUUCUAAGUCAGGGGUGAAAUCCUGGAGCUCAACUCCAGAACUGCCUUUGAUACUGGAGAGCUUGAGUUCGGGAAAGGUGAGUGGAACUGCGAGUGUAGAGGUGAAAUUCGUAGAUAUUCGCAAGAACACCAGUGGCGAAGGCGGCUCACUGGCCCGAUACUGACGCUGAGGUGCGAAAGCGUGGGGAGCAAACAGGAUUAGAAACCCGAGUAGUCC